AUUCGUUUUGUUUUUUGUUUGUUUUGAGACAGAGUUUCACUCUUGUCGCCCAGGCUGGAGUGCGAUGGCAUGGUCUCGGCUCACUGCAACCUCCACCUCCCGGGUUCAAGCGAUUUUUUUGCCUCAGCCUCCCCAGUAGCUGGGAUUACAGGCCCCUGCGACCACGCCCGGCUAAUUUUUGUAUUUUUAGUAGAGAUGGGGUUUUACCAUGUUGGCCAAGCUGGUCCCGAACUCCUGACAUCAGUUCAGCUGGGUCUCGGACCCCAUUGCUCAUGACGAGAUCUGCCCAUCUCAGUCUCCCAGAGUGCUGGGAUUACAGGCGUGAGCAGCCGUGCCUGGCUGCAACCUGACAUUCGUUAGUGAAAUGGGGCCCUGGCCUAGCCAUGGGGACGUCCCUUACUUUGUAACCCUGAAACUGCCCAGUGUCCCCCCAAAAUCACACAUUCCGUGGGUACAUGAUCCAUAAAUGGACACUGGGUAAAAGUGGACCAUGGAGCACCCCCUGCUGGCCCCUCCCUCCAGUCUGGCUGGGGUGUGGUGAGAUGUGCUUGUGUGUCCAGGUCCCUGAGCGUGAGCAGCGUCUCCUCAGUGUCCAGUGCUACGUCGAGCAGCAGCUCUGCACACAGCGUGGACUCGGAGGACAUGUACGCAGACCUGGCUAGCCCCGUGUCCUCAGCCAGCUCUCGGUCCCCGGCCCCAGCCCAGACCAGGAAGGAGAAAGGAAAAUCUAAGAAAGAAGACGGUGUUAAAGAGGAAAAGCGGAAAAGGGAUUCGUCCACACAACCACCCAAAUCUGCAAAACCUCCAGCAGGGGGGAAGUCCUCCCAGCAGCCCUCGACACCCCAGCAGGCACCCCCCGGGCAGCCCCAGCAGGGCACAUUUGUGGCCCACAAGGAGAUCAAGUUGACACUGUUGAAUAAGGCGGCUGAUAAAGGAAGCAGGAAGCGCUAUGAACCAUCAGACAAGGACAGGCAGAGCCCUCCUCCAGCCAAGCGGGCCAACACAUCCCCAGACCGAGGUUCUCGGGACCGGAAGUCAGGUGGGAGACUGGGCUCCCCGAAGCCAGAGCGGCAGAGAGGCCAGAACUCCAAAGCCCCUGCAGCCCCGGCUGACAGGAAGCGCCAGCUGUCACCCCAGUCCAAGAGCUCCAGCAAGGUCACGAGCGUGCCCGGCAAAGCCUCGGAUCCCGGCGCCGCCAGCACCAAAUCAGGGAAGGCCAGCACGCUGUCUCGGCGGGAGGAGCUGCUGAAACAGCUGAAGGCCGUGGAGGAUGCUAUUGCACGCAAGCGGGCCAAGAUCCCCGGGAAAGCAUAGGCCGUGCCCCGACCGGACUGGACGCAUUUUUAUACAUAGGGUAAGCGCAGCCAUUUUGGAUUUUGCAGUUAAUGUCUUAUUUUGGCUGUGAUUCUUUUUAAAAAGUAAAAAAGAAAAAAAAGUUUCUCAGCUGGAAAAGAAGCCACACAGGAAAUGACAACGACGCUGAAUCCCAACCUCCCUCCCCAGAGCAGAAGUCCGGCAGGACAGACAGACACAGACAGCGCUAGUGACCAGCAAGGUUCUCAUGUAAAUUACAAGCCCCAGCCGCCAGCCCCGCCUUCUCUUCCUCCUCCUCCGUCUUCUUCCCUGGCCCUGGUCAGGCCUGUGGAGCCCCAGCUCUGGGUCCCUAGCCCGGGUCCAGGCAGCCAGGCUCCCUCCUGAGCUGAGAAACGGAACCUCGCGAACCACUGGUGGCACCUCCUUCUCCUCCCCAGCCCCUGAUCACCCGCCCCCGGAUCAGAAAUAUAUCUAUAUUCUCGACUAAAGUCUCAUCAGGAAAUAUUUCCUGUCUUUUAUUUUAAGCAUCAAAUUGUUUUAGUUGAUUUAAAAAGGAAAAAAUACAGAAAAGACCAAAAAAAGGCCAAGGGUGUUGUUGGGGCGUCUGUCUAAUGUGGAGGGUCUUUUUUUGAGGG
Molecule: small RNA, 1949 nt
Filed under: Pan troglodytes (chimpanzee)
Lineage: Eukaryota; Metazoa; Chordata; Mammalia; Primates; Hominidae
Description: retained intron
Source: RNAcentral